UAGCGGUGGAAUGCGUAGAUAUAUGGAAGAACACCAGUGGCGAAGGCGGCUUACUGGACUGUAACUGACGUUGAGGCUCGAAAGUGUGGGUAGCAAACAGGAUUAGAUACCCUGGUAGUCCACACCGUAAACGAUGAACACUAGGUGUUAGGAGGUUUCCGCCUCUUAGUGCCGAAGCUAACGCAUUAAGUGUUCCGCCUGGGGAGUACGACCGCAAGGUUGAAACUCAAAGGAAUUGACGGGGACCCGCACAAGCGGUGGAGCAUGUGGUUCAAUUCGAAGCAACGCGAAGAACCUUACCAGGUCUUGACAUCCUUUGAAGCUUUUAGAGAUAGAAGUGUUCUCUUCGGAGACAAAGUGACAGGUGGUGCAUGGUCGUCGUCAGCUCGUGUCGUGAGAUGUUGGGUUAAGUCCCGCAACGAGCGCAACCCUUAUUGUUAGUUGCCAGCAUUCAGAUGGGCACUCUAGCGAGACUGCCGGUGACAAACCGGAGGAAGGCGGGGACGACGUCAGAUCAUCAUGCCCCUUAUGACCUGGGCUACACACGUGCUACAAUGGCGUAUACAACGAGUUGCCAACCCGCGAGGGUGAGCUAAUCUCUUAAAGUACGUCUCAGUUCGGAUUGUAGUCUGCAACUCGACUACAUGAAGUCGGAAUCGCUAGUAAUCGCGGAUCAGCACGCCGCGGUGAAUACGUUCCCGGGUCUUUACACACCGCCCGUCACACCAUGGGAGUUUGUAAUGCCCAAAGCCGGUGGCCUAACCUUUUAGGAAGGAGCCGUCUAAGGCAGGACAGAUGACUGGGGUGAAGUCGUAACAAGGUAGCCGUAGGAGAACCUGCGGCUGGAUC
RNAcentral lists this ribosomal RNA (849 nucleotides) under uncultured bacterium. RNAcentral describes it as "bacterial SSU rRNA". It matches the Rfam family "Bacterial small subunit ribosomal RNA", at positions 676 to 1524 of the family's 1533-position model. The record is from RNAcentral.